This 195-nucleotide long non-coding RNA is filed under the name Zonotrichia albicollis (white-throated sparrow). Its description in RNAcentral is "lncRNA (ENSZALG00000009862.1)". The record is from RNAcentral. Lineage: Eukaryota; Metazoa; Chordata; Aves; Passeriformes; Passerellidae.
AUGAGAAACUUCAGUUGCUGAAAACAUUGGGAAUCUGCAACUCUUUAUCAUAGGACUUAAACUCAUGUUAGCUUUGAAUUACUUUUUCUGCACCAGUCUGCUGAAUCUGGACUGAAGAGAAAACGAGAUUGCACUGGCAGUGCUUGGCAUCCUAUACAUUUAGGCAAAAGCUACUGCAGGAAAAUUUGUUGGCAA